Molecule: ribosomal RNA, 499 nt
Filed under: uncultured bacterium
Lineage: Bacteria
Description: partial 16S ribosomal RNA
Rfam family: Bacterial small subunit ribosomal RNA
Source: RNAcentral
GAUGAACGCUGGCGGCGUGCCUAAUACAUGCAAGUCGAGCGAACAGACGAGAGUGCUUGCACUCUCUGACGUUAGCGGCGGACGGGUGAGUAACACGUGGGUAACCUACCUAUAAGACUGGGAUAACUUCGGGAAACCGGAGCUAAUACCGGAUAAUAUUUAGCUUCGCAUGAAGCAAUAGUGAAAGACGGUUCUGCUGUCACUUAUAGAUGGACCCGCGGUGUAUUAGCUAGUUGGUGAGGUAACGGCUCACCAAGGCAACGAUACAUAGCCGACCUGAGAGGGUGAUCGGCCACACUGGGACUGAGACACGGCCCAGACUCCUACGGGAGGCAGCAGUAGGGAAUCUUCCGCAAAGGACGAAAGUCUGACGGAGCAAUGCCGCGUGAGUGAAGAAGGUGUUCGGAUCGUAAAACUCUGUUGUAAGGGAAGAACAAGUACGUUAGUAACUGAACGUACAUUGACGGUACCUGACCAGAAAGCCACGGCUAACUACGUG